This 125-nucleotide ribosomal RNA is filed under the name Neocyttus helgae. RNAcentral describes it as "partial 28S ribosomal RNA". Lineage: Eukaryota; Metazoa; Chordata; Actinopteri; Zeiformes; Oreosomatidae. The record is from RNAcentral.
AGCGUCGGGCCCAUACCCGGCCGUCGCCGGCGAGGACAGCCACGGGGGCUACGCCGCGACGAGUAGGAGGGCCGCCGCGGUGAGCACGGAAGCCUAGGGCGUGGGCCCGGGUGGAGNCCGCCGCG